This 71-nucleotide transfer RNA is filed under the name Loxodonta africana (African savanna elephant). It matches the Rfam family "tRNA". From Rfam's summary of the family: Transfer RNA (tRNA) molecules are approximately 80 nucleotides in length. Their secondary structure includes four short double-helical elements and three loops (D, anti-codon, and T loops). Further hydrogen bonds mediate the characteristic L-shaped molecular structure. tRNAs have two regions of fundamental functional importance: the anti-codon, which is responsible for specific mRNA codon recognition, and the 3' end, to which the tRNAs corresponding amino acid is attached (by aminoacyl-tRNA synthetases). tRNAs cope with the degeneracy of the genetic code in two manners: having more than one tRNA (with a specific anti-codon) for a particular amino acid; and 'wobble' base-pairing, i.e. permitting non-standard base-pairing at the 3rd anti-codon position. Lineage: Eukaryota; Metazoa; Chordata; Mammalia; Proboscidea; Elephantidae. The record is from Rfam by way of RNAcentral.
GCCCUGGUGGCAAAGUGUUAAAGUGAUAGACUCCUAACCUAAAGGUUGGUGGUUCGAAACCACCCGCGGCU